GAUGAACGCUGGCGGCGUGCCUAACACAUGCAAGUCGAACGGAGUCGUUUUGGAAAUCUCUUCGGAGAUGGAAUUCUCGACUUAGUGGCGGACGGGUGAGUAACGCGUGAGCAAUCUGCCUUUAAGAGGGGGAUAACAGUCGGAAACGGCUGCUAAUACCGCAUAAAGCAUUAAAUUCGCAUGUUUUUGAUGCCAAAGGAGCAAUCCGCUUUUAGAUGAGCUCGCGUCUGAUUAGCUAGUUGGCGGGGUAACGGCCCACCAAGGCGACGAUCAGUAGCCGGACUGAGAGGUUGAACGGCCACAUUGGGACUGAGACACGGCCCAGACUCCUACGGGAGGCAGCAGGGGGGAAUAUUGCGCAAUGGGGGAAACCCUGACGCAGCAACGCCGCGUGAUUGAAGAAGGCCUUCGGGUUGUAAAGAUCUUUAAUCAGGGACGAAACAAAUGACGGUACCUGAAGAAUAAGCUCCGGCUAACUACGUG
RNAcentral lists this ribosomal RNA (483 nucleotides) under uncultured bacterium. RNAcentral's name for it is "partial 16S ribosomal RNA". It matches the Rfam family "Bacterial small subunit ribosomal RNA", at positions 28 to 507 of the family's 1533-position model. The record is from RNAcentral.